UGGGGAAUAUUGCACAAUGGGCGCAAGCCUGAUGCAGCCAUGCCGCGUGUAUGAAGAAGGCCUUCGGGUUGUAAAGUACUUUCAGCGGGGAGGAAGGUGUUGAGGUUAAUAACCUCAGCAAUUGACGUUACCCGCAGAAGAAGCACCGGCUAACUCCGUGCCAGCAGCCGCGGUAAUACGGAGGGUGCAAGCGUUAAUCGGAAUUACUGGGCGUAAAGCGCACGCAGGCGGUCUGUCAAGUCGGAUGUGAAAUCCCCGGGCUCAACCUGGGAACUGCAUUCGAAACUGGCAGGCUAGAGUCUUGUAGAGGGGGGUAGAAUUCCAGGUGUAGCGGUGAAAGGCGUAGAGAUCUGGAGGAAUACCGGUGGCGAAGGCGGCCCCCUGGACAAAGACUGACGCUGAGGUGCGAAAGCGUGGGGAGCAAACA
Molecule: ribosomal RNA, 427 nt
Filed under: uncultured bacterium
Lineage: Bacteria
Description: partial 16S ribosomal RNA
Rfam family: Bacterial small subunit ribosomal RNA
Source: RNAcentral